GACGAACGCUGGCGGCGUGCUUAACACAUGCAAGUCGAACGGAAAGGCCCUGCUUUUGUGGGGUGCUCGAGUGGCGAACGGGUGAGUAACACGUGAGUAACCUGCCCUUGACUUUGGGAUAACUUCAGGAAACUGGGGCUAAUACCGGAUAGGAUCUCCUGCUGCAUGGUGGGGGUUGGAAAGUUUCGGCGGUUGGGGAUGGACUCGCGGCUUAUCAGCUUGUUGGUGGGGUAGUGGCUUACCAAGGCUUUGACGGGUAGCCGGCCUGAGAGGGUGACCGGCAACAUUGGGAGUGAGAGACGGACCAGACUGCAACGGGAGGCAGCAGUGGGGAAUAUUGCACAAUGGGAGGAAGCCUGAUGCAGCAACGCCGCGUGCGGGAUGACGGCCUUCGGGUUGUAAACCGAUUUCGCCUGUGACGAAGCGUGAGUGACGGUAAUGGGUAAAGAAGCACCGGCUAACUACGUG
Molecule: ribosomal RNA, 468 nt
Filed under: uncultured bacterium
Lineage: Bacteria
Description: partial 16S ribosomal RNA
Rfam family: Bacterial small subunit ribosomal RNA
Source: RNAcentral